RNAcentral lists this ribosomal RNA (583 nucleotides) under Palaemon serrifer. RNAcentral describes it as "SSU rRNA". It matches the Rfam family "Eukaryotic small subunit ribosomal RNA", at positions 698 to 1268 of the family's 1831-position model. The record is from RNAcentral. Lineage: Eukaryota; Metazoa; Arthropoda; Malacostraca; Decapoda; Palaemonidae.
CAAGCCGGUUCUGCCGGGGUGCUCUUCACCGAGUGUCCCGCGCGGCCGGCCAGUUCACCUUGAAUAAAUGAGAGUGCUCAAAGCAGGCUACUCUCGAAUACAAUGCCCGAAUGUUACCUGCAUGGAAUGAUGGAAGAUGAUCUCUGUUCCAUUUUCUUGGUGGUGGGAGCCAGAGGUAAUGAUAAAGAGGGACUGUCGGGGGCAUCCGUACUACGACGCGAGAGGUGAAAUUCAGUGACCGUCGUAGGACGAACAACAGCGAAAGCAUUUGCCAAGAAUGUCUUCGUUGAUCAAGAACGAAAGUUAGAGGAUCGAAGGCGAUCAGAUACCGCCCUAGUUCUAACCCUAAACGAUGCUGACUAGCAAUUCGCCGUCGUUAUUCCCAUGACGUGGCGAGACGCCCCCGGGAAACCUCAAGUCUUUGAGUUCCGGGGGUAGUAUGGUUGCAAAACUGAAACUUAAAGGAAUUGACGGAAGGGCACCACCAGGAGUGGAGCCUGCGGCUUAAUUUGACUCAACUCGGGAAACCUCACCAGGCCCGGACACCAGAAGGAUUGACAGAUUAAGAGCUCUUUCUCGAUAU